AACGAUUUUAACUUUAUUUUGUCCAUUUCACAACUAAAAGACUAGCAAAGGCUAGCAACAACGAAUUAGGAGGAGUAAAGACGGCAUAAGACCACCAUAAAACUUUGGCACACUCGCGUUCAAAUACACCAUUCAGUUGGCAGAUUUGUGUUAAUUGAAUGGCGGUUGGGCUUCCCACAAGCAAGAAAAUAACAACAACAAAAACAGGAUCAUCAACAGUACUUAUUUCACUGAAGUAUGAGAGUAAACUGAAAGCGGGUAAUAAUGCCAGAGGAACAACUACCAUACGGCCAAGAAGACACACAAUAAUUACUCGAGUAUCGUUAUUUUUACGGACUUCUUGAGUAGGUUCAGUUUUGGAAAUAUCAGUAGCAAGACUUGCUCCCAAAACUACCAAAAUCAUAGGAACAGCAACUUGACCAGCCAUUCGAAUACCACUGGUGAUGCUACCUUCAACGAACGAACCUUCUUCGAAGAAAAAGCGUUGCAGAGGAGGAACAACAGCAAUAAAUAAGGCGAUAAAUAAGGAGUAUAAAGGAGGGCUGAAGAAAUCUAACAGUAAAACAAUAAACUUCGAGAUCUUCGAAGAGGCUGCUCCAAACCCACCAACUUCUUCGUUAGAGGUUUCAACUUGAACGUUGUCAUUUUUGGAAAUCGCAGAAGAAUCAGUUUGAACAGUUGAGCCCUCAUUUGCCUGAACAGAAUUUUGAACCCCAUCUACAUUUGCACUAGAAGCCAACAAAUUCUGAAUUUCUUCUUCAUUAACAUCGCUAUGUGACCAAGAACGGUUACCGAUAGGUAGAGGGUCCUCCGGUUGAUUCGGAGAAAGGAGAAUACGAUAACCAUAGGACCAACGAAGAGCUUGACCUAACUGAGAGAAAAUAAGCAAAUACAUAAUACCGCGUGAAGCAACCUUAUCAGGUGUAUCAUCGGGAAUUUUGUCCCAUAGCAAAUCCUUUACAGUAGUAGCUAAAGAAGAUACCAAGGCCAAAGGUAAGGAAUUUGACUAAAGAGUUAGUAAACAAAAACAAACGAACAAUAUUCUUGCAGGUAAGGUACGUACGUUUUGAAACGUUAUGCAGGCAGUGGCGAAAUUCCUUUGGCGAGGUGUCAGUCGGAAGAGUUUUGCAAGUAAAAAUGAUAUCAGAAUAGAACUGAAAGUUAGCAAAGUGAAUGACUUAAAUACUUACGCUGCGGAGAUGAUAACAUAAAACACGGGUAAAAGAGAAAGAUCAAUCAGCAUCUUCAAAUUCAAACCGUUGCCAACUUUUUCAAAUACUAGACAAGGAGUAAAGAAAUAAACGUUCAGGCUGGAUAUUACCUGUGUAAAGUUAGUAAAAUACUAGAGAACGCAAAGAUAAAUGAAGAGAAGAAAUUUAAUAGUUGAAAAUUUAUUUCUUUAUUUCACUGCUCCAUUUUUCUUUAAAACGGGGGGUAAAAUGAAUCAUACCUUCUGAGCAUCUCUAGGAAGAAAGCCUUUUUUAGCUAAUACAUAACCACCCAAAGCGAUCACAAUAACUUCCAAGUCACUUUCGAUAAUGGGCCUUAGAAGGCUCCAAACAUUAAUUUGGCCAAGAGAAGAAAAGAAUCCCAUAAUUUUUCACUAAAUGACGGAUAAAAAGAUUGAAUCCUUAAGAAAACUUUUUCACUAGUUAAACCGAAUUCCACACAACAACAGGAAUCAAAUCAAGGAAAAGCAAAAAAAAAAAGAAAAAACCAAUAAGGUCGAUCAACAGUGAAACCGGUUAAAGUAUAACAAGAAAAAAAAGUAUUUCCUAUAAAUAAUAGGAUAAGAUUAUUAUGCGGUCUAUCAACAAAAGCUUCUCAAAAAACAGGAAUAAGGAGUAAUCACUCUAAAAGUAAAUUGAUCAAAAUGUUCCCAACAAAAGUCAAUUCAAAUGCCAGAAAUUUUCAAUCGUCAAAGUCUUUUCUCUGCAAACAGCAGAAUGAAAAGGGUAGGUUAAGCUGAAAGGCCUGUUUGUUUUCAAGGUAUAGGUUAGAACGACAAAAAUUCAAAGCCUCAAAGUCAGUAAACCGCGUGGAGAAACAUUGUUACUUAGAAUGGCAAACUGACGCAUGAAACUGAUAGGUAAAAAAAAGAUACACAGAAACAAUUAUUGAGGCUUUAUGAAAUACUUUCUUUACAAAUUAGGGAAAAAUAAGAUGCUUGUAAGGAGAAAUGAAAGAAGAAUUCGGCCAAUCCAUAAAUGAUCUCUAUAACGUAAUCAGACUUAGAUUUCGUUGUUUUAGGAUUUUUAAUAUUUACGGCAGAUCAAUUAAAAAAAUUACAUUAAUUUCGAA
Molecule: non-coding RNA, 2301 nt
Organism: Schizosaccharomyces pombe (fission yeast)
Lineage: Eukaryota; Fungi; Ascomycota; Schizosaccharomycetes; Schizosaccharomycetales; Schizosaccharomycetaceae
Source: the annotation of a GenBank genome assembly